Molecule: ribosomal RNA, 452 nt
Filed under: uncultured bacterium
Lineage: Bacteria
Description: bacterial SSU rRNA
Rfam family: Bacterial small subunit ribosomal RNA
Source: RNAcentral
CAGGCCUAACACAUGCAAGUCGAACGGCAGCACGGGUGCUUGCACCUGGUGGCGAGUGGCGAACGGGUGAGUAAUGCAUCGGAACGUACCCGGAAGUGGGGGAUAACUCUCCGAAAGGAGUGCUAAUACCGCAUAUUCUGUGAGCAGGAAAGCAGGGGAUCUUCGGACCUUGUGCUUCCGGAGCGGCCGAUGUCAGAUUAGGUAGUUGGUGGGGUAAAAGCCUACCAAGCCGACGAUCUGUAGCGGGUCUGAGAGGAUGAUCCGCCACACUGGAACUGAGACACGGUCCAGACUCCUACGGGAGGCAGCAGUGGGGAAUUUUGGACAAUGGGGGCAACCCUGAUCCAGCCAUGCCGCGUGAGUGAAGAAGGCCUUCGGGUUGUAAAGCUCUUUCGGCCGGGAAGAAAUCGCGUUGGCUAAUAUCCAGCGGGAUGACGGUACCGGAAUAAGAA